AGCAGUGACGUGCCUCGCUCUCCUGUCACCUUAGAGCUUUCCCGCGCCCGCGCUCUAACACAUCAUUUUCACGGGCUAUAGCGCCGCUCAGUGGAUAUAUCUAAUCCAUCUUUGCUGCUUUAUAGUGAAUGGAGACCUUGGAGGACAAACAGAAACGUCCUGUCCUUCGCCCACUUCUUUUCUUGUUUGAAUGUCCACAUUUAUAAAUCUCAGGAAGUUAUAUUAUGUCUAACCACUAUAAUGGACUUUUUAACUGUUAUUACGCGUGGUGUUUACGCCAUAAAUUGACCACGCGGUGUUUAUUGACGUGUUGUACUCACCAACACGACUGGAUGCAAGAAAAGCUGUUGAAAAAUGAGUUGCAGAUAUCAGAGAGGAGUCUCUAACAGAAGAAAUUCUAGUUAAAAAGAGGAAGAUGGAGAAUUAUCGAUCCCUUGUCCCGAAGGUGUCUGCCGUAUGCAGAUGUCCCCAAGGUGCACCAGAGAAGGGUCCUGAGAGCAUCGGGGUGGUGGCCGAGUCCUGCACUCGCAUAGCUGGAGCAGAGCUCCAUCUUCAGGAGCCAGACUGGAGCGGAUACAAGAGCCCUCCAGCACAUGAACACAUGUGAACAUCCUUUAUGAGAUUACAGUGGAACCUCAGAUGCUGCCCAGCACACAGAGAUCAUAUCAUAUAUAUAUGGCAGACGUCCACCUUUGUCAUCUCACGGAGGCAAGUUUGUUCUCCUCUGUCAUUAUCAUCAGUGUGUUCUUGCCCUCCAUAUGUGCAUGUAUCCAAAUGACUGUUAAUCUUAUAAUCACUCUUAAAAGGAUAGUUCACCCAACAAAUGAAACUUGUCUCAUCAUUUACUCACCCUUAGAUGGUUGAAGUCAUUCAUGUUAAAAAGAUAUUUUGAGAAAUAGCUUGUUGUUGUUGUUGUUGUUGUUGUUGUUUUUUGUCCAUACAAUAACCAAAACUGUUUGGUAUGGAAGCUUGUAUCCGCCACUGAAUAAAAAAAAAAGAAGUAAUUACAACUUUUUAUCUCGCAAUUCUGACUUUUUUUCUCAGAAUUGAUAUCUUCUUAGAGUUUAUGUCUUAUGUAUCAUUGUGAGUUAUAAAGUCAGAA
Megalobrama amblycephala (Wuchang bream) is the source of this 1102-nucleotide long non-coding RNA. RefSeq lists it as uncharacterized. NCBI's taxonomy places the organism in Eukaryota, Metazoa, Chordata, Actinopteri, Cypriniformes, Xenocyprididae. The transcript is spliced from 3 exons. The record is from RefSeq and is a predicted model, not a curated record.